GACGAACGCUGGCGGCGUGCUUAACACAUGCAAGUCGAACGGAAAGGCCCUGCUUUUGUGGGGUGCUCGAGUGGCGAACGGGUGAGUAACACGUGAGUAACCUGCCCUUGACUUUGGGAUAACUUCAGGAAACUGGGGCUAAUACCGGAUAGGAGCUCCUGCUGCAUGGUGGGGGUUGGAAAGUUUCGGCGGUUGGGGAUGGACUCGCGGCUUAUCAGCUUGUUGGUGGGGUAGUGGCUUACCAAGGCUUUGACGGGUAGCCGGCCUGAGAGGGUGACCGGCAACAUUGGGACUGAGAUACGGCCCAGACUCCUACGGGAGGCAGCAGGGGGGAAUAUUGAAAAAUGGGCGGAAGCCUGAUGCAGCAACGCCGCGUGCGGGAUGACGGCCUUCGGGUUGUAAACCGCUUUCGCCUGUGACGAAGCGUGAGUGACGGUAAUGGGUAAAGAAGCACCGGCUAACUACGUG
RNAcentral lists this ribosomal RNA (468 nucleotides) under uncultured bacterium. RNAcentral's name for it is "partial 16S ribosomal RNA". It matches the Rfam family "Bacterial small subunit ribosomal RNA", at positions 28 to 507 of the family's 1533-position model. The record is from RNAcentral.